CGCACAUUGCGCCCAUGAGUAUUCUCUUGGGCAUGCCUGUUCGAGCGUCAUUUCGACCCUUAAGCCUAGCUUAGUGUUGGGAAUCUACUGCGGGUGUGUAGCCCCCUAGUUCCUGAAAACCAACGGCGGACUUGUAGUAUCCUCUGAGCGCAGUAACAAAUCUCGCUUCUGUCAGGUGCUGUGGAUCUAGCCGCUAAACCCUUAAUUUUAAUGGUUGACCUCGGAUCAGGUAGGAAUACCCGCUGAACUUAA
RNAcentral lists this unclassified non-coding RNA (252 nucleotides) under Xylariales sp. RNAcentral's name for it is "partial contains 5.8S ribosomal RNA, internal transcribed spacer 2, and large subunit ribosomal RNA". The record is from RNAcentral. Lineage: Eukaryota; Fungi; Ascomycota; Sordariomycetes; Xylariales.